AUCGCAUCUCGGCCUUUUGGCUAAGAUAAAGUGUAGUAUAUAUUCUUAUCAGUUUAAUAUCUGAUACGGGCCAUAUAUUUUAGGCAGUGGCCUAAUGGAUAGGGAGUCAAACUUGU
RNAcentral lists this small nuclear RNA (116 nucleotides) under Mastacembelus armatus (zig-zag eel). Its description in RNAcentral is "U2 spliceosomal RNA (ENSMAMG00000004942.2)". It matches the Rfam family "U2 spliceosomal RNA". Rfam says of the family: U2 is a small nuclear RNA (snRNA) component of the spliceosome (involved in pre-mRNA splicing). Complementary binding between U2 snRNA (in an area lying towards the 5' end but 3' to hairpin I) and the branchpoint sequence (BPS) of the intron results the bulging out of an unpaired adenosine, on the BPS, which initiates a nucleophilic attack at the intronic 5' splice site, thus starting the first of two transesterification reactions that mediate splicing. The record is from Rfam by way of RNAcentral. Lineage: Eukaryota; Metazoa; Chordata; Actinopteri; Synbranchiformes; Mastacembelidae.